RNAcentral lists this ribosomal RNA (839 nucleotides) under Salmonella enterica subsp. enterica serovar Dublin. RNAcentral describes it as "partial 23S ribosomal RNA". It matches the Rfam family "Bacterial large subunit ribosomal RNA", at positions 1 to 1254 of the family's 2925-position model. The record is from RNAcentral. Lineage: Bacteria; Pseudomonadati; Pseudomonadota; Gammaproteobacteria; Enterobacterales; Enterobacteriaceae.
GGUGAACUCCACAUACGCAUCCUUUGCUGAGGAUACGGUUAACGGAGCGAAAGCGACGUUCAACCGCAAAAGAAGCAGAGGGGGCUUAGUGGUGGGGUGACUGCGUACCUUUUGUAUAAUGGGUCAGCGACUUAUAUUCUGUAGCAAGGUUAACCGAAUAGGGGAGCCGGAGGGAAACCGAGUCUUAACCGGGCGUUAAGUUGCAGGGUAUAGACCCGAAACCCGGUGAUCUAGCCAUGGGCAGGUUGAAGGUUGGGUAACACUAACUGGAGGACCGAACCGACUAAUGUUGAAAAAUUAGCGGAUGACCUGUGGCUGGGGGUGAAAGGCCAAUCAAACCGGGAGAUAGCUGGUUCUCCCCGAAAGCUAUUUAGGUAGCGCCUCGUGAAUUCAUCUCCGGGGGUAGAGCACUGUUUCGGCUAGGGGGCCAUCCCGGCUUACCAACCCGAUGCAAACUGCGAAUACCGGAGAAUGUUAUCACGGGAGACACACGGCGGGUGCUAACGUCCGUCGUGAAGAGGGAAACAACCCAGACCGCCAGCUAAGGUCCCAAAGUCAUGGUUAAGUGGGAAACGAUGUGGGAAGGCCCAGACAGCCAGGAUGUUGGCUUAGAAGCAGCCAUCAUUUAAAGAAAGCGUAAUAGCUCACUGGUCGAGUCGGCCUGCGCGGAAGAUGUAACGGGGCUAAACCAUGCACCGAAGCUGCGGCAGCGAACGUAUCACUUAAAGCGAUUCAGCGGGUUACGAUUGACGGAGCGAAGCGACGUCAAAGCGUAUACAAAGUCGAGUCGGUUUAAGGAUACGUUCGUUGGGUAGGGGAGCGUUCUGUAAGCCUGUGAA